CCUACGGGUGGCAGCAGUGGGGAAUAUUGGACAAUGGGGGCAACCCUGAUCCAGCCAUGCCGCGUGUGUGAAGAAGGCCCUCGGGUUGUAAAGCACUUUCAGUGAGGAAGAACGCCUGGUGGUUAAUACCCAUCAGGAAAGACAUCACUCACAGAAGAAGCACCGGCUAACUCCGUGCCAGCAGCCGCGGUAAUACGGAGGGUGCGAGCGUUAAUCGGAAUUACUGGGCGUAAAGCGCGCGUAGGUGGCUUGAUAAGCCGGUUGUGAAAGCCCCGGGCUCAACCUGGAACGGCAUCCGGAACUGUCAAGCUAGAGUGCAGGAGAGGAAGGUAGAAUUCCCGGUGUAGCGGUGAAAUGCGUAGAGAUCGGGAGGAAUACCAGUGGCGAAGGCGGCCUUCUGGACUGACACUGACACUGAGGUGCGAAAGCGUGGGUAGCAAACAGGAUUAGAUACCCGGGUAGUC
Molecule: ribosomal RNA, 464 nt
Filed under: Vreelandella stevensii
Lineage: Bacteria; Pseudomonadati; Pseudomonadota; Gammaproteobacteria; Oceanospirillales; Halomonadaceae
Description: partial 16S ribosomal RNA
Rfam family: Bacterial small subunit ribosomal RNA
Source: RNAcentral